GAGGAGAUGGAGAAGAAGGUUGAGUUGUUUGCCUCUGUGGCAACAGCUUUAGCCAGAUAGGACUUUCCUGUACCCGGAGGCCCAAAGAGCAAGAUCCCUCUCCAUGGAGUUCUCUUUCCUGUCAGUCAAGCAAAAAGAGGUCACCCCAAGAUCACUGUAGAAGCAUCAACCACUUGGUGGGGUACUUCACAGGUUUGGGGCUCCUAUGAUCCAGCUUUAAGAGCUUGACAGCCCUGUGCUUGUCAUGGCUACUUUUAAUAUUGACUGAUGUAUUUUUUAUUAUUGUAAAGCACUUUGUGAUUUUGUAUCUGUGAAAGGUGCUAUACAAAUAAACUCUACUUACUUACUACUUACUUAAUCAUCUUCCAUCUUUAUCAUUAUGGCCAGACAAUUUCUUUUAAUUUCAUAAUCACACUUUUCUUUUUGUAUUUGCACAAGUGGCAGCCAGUUCAAAUCGCCCUUUGAAACUGCAGAAUACUUCUCACUGUGACUAUAAUAAUACAGUGUCUAUUUCACAUUACCAUAUACCUUGAAGGAUGAUUGUAAAGUAUGGGGAUACAAAAAAAGUAUAUAGUUCUUAUAAAUCAAAGCUUAAAACUUUACUGUUUGCUGCUGGCUUUUAUUAAAUCAAAUAAUGAUCUUAUACUACACUAUAACUUUUACUCUUGUGUGUUCUACUCUAUUUUAGCUUCGAUCCUAGCUUUUAU
Long non-coding RNA from Sebastes umbrosus (honeycomb rockfish), 707 nucleotides. RefSeq lists it as uncharacterized. Lineage: Eukaryota; Metazoa; Chordata; Actinopteri; Perciformes; Sebastidae. The transcript has 3 exons. The record is from RefSeq and is a predicted model, not a curated record.